UUAAGCGACUAAGCGUACACGGUGGAUGCCCUGGCAGUCAGAGGCGAUGAAGGACGUGCUAAUCUGCGAUAAGCGUCGGUAAGGUGAUAUGAACCGUUAUAACCGGCGAUUUCCGAAUGGGGAAACCCAGUGUGAUUCGUCACACUAUCAUUAACUGAAUCCAUAGGUUAAUGAGGCGAACCGGGGGAACUGAAACAUCUAAGUACCCCGAGGAAAAGAAAUCAACCGAGAUUCCCCCAGUAGCGGCGAGCGAACGGGGAGCAGCCCAGAGCCUGAAUCAGUGUGUGUGUUAGUGGAAGCGUCUGGAAAGGCGCGCGAUACAGGGUGACAGCCCCGUACACAAAAAUGCACAUGCUGUGAGCUCGAUGAGUAGGGCGGGACACGUGGUAUCCUGUCUGAAUAUGGGGGGACCAUCCUCCAAGGCUAAAUACUCCUGACUGACCGAUAGUGAACCAGUACCGUGAGGGAAAGGCGAAAAGAACCCCGGCGAGGGGAGUGAAAAAGAACCUGAAACCGUGUACGUACAAGCAGUGGGAGCACAGAGCAAUCUGUGUGACUGCGUACCUUUUGUAUAAUGGGUCAGCGACUUAUAUUCUGUAGCAAGGUUAACCGAAUAGGGGAGCCGAAGGGAAACCGAGUCUUAACUGGGCGUUAAGUUGCAGGGUAUAGACCCGAAACCCGGUGAUCUAGCCAUGGGCAGGUUGAAGGUUGGGUAACACUAACUGGAGGACCGAACCGACUAAUGUUGAAAAAUUAGCGGAUGACUUGUGGCUGGGGGUGAAAGGCCAAUCAAACCGGGAGAUAGCUGGUUCUCCCCGAAAGCUAUUUAGGUAGCGCCUCGUGAAUUCAUCUCCGGGGGUAGAGCACUGUUUCGGCAAGGGGGUCAUCCCGACUUACCAACCCGAUGCAAACUGCGAAUACCGGAGAAUGUUAUCACGGGAGACACACGGCGGGUGCUAACGUCCGUCGUGAAGAGGGAAACAACCCAGACCGCCAGCUAAGGUCCCAAAGUCAUGGUUAAGUGGGAAACGAUGUGGGAAGGCCCAGACAGCCAGGAUGUUGGCUUAGAAGCAGCCAUCAUUUAAAGAAAGCGUAAUAGCUCACUGGUCGAGUCGGCCUGCGCGGAAGAUGUAACGGCUAAACCAUGCACCGAAGCUGCGGCAGCGACGCUUAUGCGUUGUUGGGUAGGGGAGCGUUCUGUAAGCCUGCGAAGGUGUGCUGUGAGGCAUGCUGGAGGUAUCAGAAGUGCGAAUGCUGACAUAAGUAACGAUAAAGCGGGUGAAAAGCCCGCUCGCCGGAAGACCAAGGGUUCCUGUCCAACGUUAAUCGGGGCAGGGUGAGUCGACCCCUAAGGCGAGGCCGAAAGGCGUAGUCGAUGGGAAACAGGUUAAUAUUCCUGUACUUGGUGUUACUGCGAAGGGGGGACGGAGAAGGCUAUGUUGGCCGGGCGACGGUUGUCCCGGUUUAAGCGUGUAGGCUGGUUUUCCAGGCAAAUCCGGAAAAUCAAGGCUGAGGCGUGAUGACGAGGCACUACGGUGCUGAAGCAACAAAUGCCCUGCUUCCAGGAAAAGCCUCUAAGCAUCAGGUAACAUCAAAUCGUACCCCAAACCGACACAGGUGGUCAGGUAGAGAAUACCAAGGCGCUUGAGAGAACUCGGGUGAAGGAACUAGGCAAAAUGGUGCCGUAACUUCGGGAGAAGGCACGCUGAUAUGUAGGUGAAGUCCCUCGCGGAUGGAGCUGAAAUCAGUCGAAGAUACCAGCUGGCUGCAACUGUUUAUUAAAAACACAGCACUGUGCAAACACGAAAGUGGACGUAUACGGUGUGACGCCUGCCCGGUGCCGGAAGGUUAAUUGAUGGGGUCAGCGCAAGCGAAGCUCUUGAUCGAAGCCCCGGUAAACGGCGGCCGUAACUAUAACGGUCCUAAGGUAGCGAAAUUCCUUGUCGGGUAAGUUCCGACCUGCACGAAUGGCGUAAUGAUGGCCAGGCUGUCUCCACCCGAGACUCAGUGAAAUU
RNAcentral lists this ribosomal RNA (2015 nucleotides) under Escherichia coli DEC11E. Its description in RNAcentral is "bacterial LSU rRNA". It matches the Rfam family "Bacterial large subunit ribosomal RNA", at positions 1 to 2043 of the family's 2925-position model. Lineage: Bacteria; Pseudomonadati; Pseudomonadota; Gammaproteobacteria; Enterobacterales; Enterobacteriaceae. The record is from RNAcentral.